This 356-nucleotide unclassified non-coding RNA is filed under the name uncultured Agaricomycetes. Its description in RNAcentral is "sequence contains ITS1". The stretch from base 1 to 106 matches the Rfam family "5.8S ribosomal RNA", at positions 50 to 154 of the family's 154-position model. The record is from RNAcentral. Lineage: Eukaryota; Fungi; Basidiomycota; Agaricomycetes.
GAAAUGCGAUAAGUAAUGUGAAUUGCAGAAUUCAGUGAAUCAUCGAAUCUUUGAACGCACCUUGCGCUUUUUGGCCAUUCCAAAGAGCAUGCCUGUUUGAGUGUCAUUGAAUCCUCAAGGCCCCCCUUUGCCCUUUGUGGCUUUUUCGGGGUCUUGGAUGUGGGAGCGCUGCGGGAGGCCUACAGAUUGGCCCCUCGCUCUCCUCAAACGCAUCAGUAGGGCCUCUCGGGUCUUCGCGGCGUUGAUAGUCGUUCACGCCUCGUCCCCGUUGGGGGGCUCACCUGCUUCGAAAAAAAAAAAAACCCUUCUCUGACUCUUUUGACCUCAAAUCAGGUAGGACUACCCGCUGAACUUAA